This is a long non-coding RNA of Phacochoerus africanus (Common warthog), 613 nucleotides long. RefSeq lists it as uncharacterized. The transcript is spliced from 4 exons. The record is from RefSeq and is a predicted model, not a curated record. NCBI's taxonomy places the organism in Eukaryota, Metazoa, Chordata, Mammalia, Artiodactyla, Suidae.
GGAAUCACCUGGGCUACCUGCUGGGAACAGAAGGCCCUACGGCCACACCGCCUCUCCCCCAUUUAGUGCUUCUCUGGGAGGAUGCGUGAGUGAUUCUGCCUCUCAGAGCCUUGGGCUCCUCAUCUGUACCGCGGGGAUGCACACCAACUCUGCAGGUUCUGAGGGUGAAAUGAGAUCAGCAGGACAGAGCUAAUCCCCACGUGCAGCUGAGACACUGAGACCCAGAGCAGGAAGGAAGGACUCUGAUACUGUUCAGGCAGCCACAAUGUGAUGGAGGUGUCGUACGCCUGAGUUCUUCAGGACACCCCAGGAGGGAGGACACUGAGAUCCAGGCCCAAGGAAACAGGACAUGUAAUUGAUCGUCCAAAUAGAAUACUUUUGAGGGUGAAAGGACCCUGUACGGCUAACGAGGUCACCCCUCCCCUCCGUGAGUGAGCAGAGCCCAGGCGCGAGCCAUGAGCAGGAACACCAGCUCUAGGCGCUUCCCUGCUGGAGGUAGGUAGCAGUGACCCCAAAAGGGGGGUAGGGGUGCCAGGGGUGUGCCCUUCCCUCCGCCAUGACCCCCCUUGCAACCCAGGCCGGCCCAGGGUGCAGGCUCUGAGGAUGGGGACCU